GGCGAGGUGGUGCAGUGGUAGCACGCGUGAGGGGUGCUCACGAGACGAUGGUUCGAGUCCAUCUCUUGCUG
This 71-nucleotide transfer RNA is filed under the name Exutisphaerella laricina CBS 326.52. Its description in RNAcentral is "tRNA-Thr (GGT) (tRNA-Thr-GGT-1-1)". It matches the Rfam family "tRNA". Rfam says of the family: Transfer RNA (tRNA) molecules are approximately 80 nucleotides in length. Their secondary structure includes four short double-helical elements and three loops (D, anti-codon, and T loops). Lineage: Eukaryota; Fungi; Ascomycota; Dothideomycetes; Mycosphaerellales; Mycosphaerellaceae. The record is from RNAcentral.